RNAcentral lists this non-coding RNA (148 nucleotides) under Gorilla gorilla gorilla (western lowland gorilla). The record is from Rfam by way of RNAcentral. Lineage: Eukaryota; Metazoa; Chordata; Mammalia; Primates; Hominidae.
GCUGGGCGUGGUGGCGUGCGCCCGUGGUCCCAGCUACUUGGGAGGCUGAGGCAGGAGAAUUGCUUGAACCCAGGAGGCGGAGGUUGCAGUGAGCUGAGAUCUCGCCACUGCACUCCAGCCUGGGCAACAGAGCAAUACUCUGUCUCAA